UGCCUACGGGAGGCAGCAGUGAGGAAUAUUGGUCAAUGGACGAGAGUCUGAACCAGCCAAGUAGCGUGAAGGAUGACUGCCCUAUGGGUUGUAAACUUCUUUUAUAAAGGAAUAAAACGAGGCACGUGUGCCUUUUUGCAUGUACUUUAUGAAUAAGGAUCGGCUAACUCCGUGCCAGCAGCCGCGGUAAUACGGAGGAUCCGAGCGUUAUCCGGAUUUAUUGGGUUUAAAGGGUGCGUAGGCGGAAUGCCAAGUCAGCGGUAAAAUCGCGGGGCUCAACCUCGCUCCGCCGUUGAAACUGGCGU
Molecule: ribosomal RNA, 305 nt
Filed under: uncultured bacterium
Lineage: Bacteria
Description: bacterial SSU rRNA
Rfam family: Bacterial small subunit ribosomal RNA
Source: RNAcentral